GGUCCCCUUCCACACUAUAGAAGCUUUGUUCUUUCCCUCUUUGCAAUAAAUCUUGCUACUGCUCACUCUUUGGGUCCACACUGCUUUUAUGAGCUGUAACACUCACCGCGAAGUUCUGCAGCUUCACUCCUGAAGCCAGCCAGACCAGGAGCCCACCGGGAGGAACGAACAACUCCAGGCGCGCUACCUUAAGAGCUGUAACACUCACUGCCAAGGUCUGCAGCUUCACUCCUCAGCCAGCGAGACCACGAACCCACCAGAAGGAAGAAACUCCGAACACAUCUGAAAAUCAGAAGGAACAAACUCCAGACGCGCCACCUUAAGAGCUGUAACACUCACCACGAGGGUCCGCGGCUUCAUUCUUAAAAGCCAGCGUCUUCCUUUGUUGCCCAGACUGGUCUUGAACUCUUGGCUUCCAGAGAUCCUCCUGCCUUUGCCUCCCAAAGUGAUGGAAUUACAGGUGUGAGCCACCAUGCCCAGCCUUGGGAAAUUCUGAACACUGAAAUUAAAUGGAUAAUUUCCUAUAGAAAUUCUACAGACAGAUUCAAAUAUAUAAUUAAAAGGUUGUUCUUACAGUAAUGUGAUGGGAAAAUAAUCUCAGAUAACAAGAUCCAUGAAACACGUUGUUUUCAUCCUCUGGGCUGAGAAUACUUUUUUAAAGAUAUAAUUCAGCUAAUGGGAAAAAGAAUCAAAAUAAACAACUCAAGACUUGGUAACUUUUUUCUCUAAAAAAGUAAAAGAAAUAUGGGUUAACACUGAGAUUCAGUUAAACAGAGAGAAGUAUAAAAUAUUGUAAAUAUAGUAAAAAAAUUUAAACCAAUAAAAAUUCUU
Molecule: long non-coding RNA, 831 nt
Filed under: Homo sapiens (human)
Lineage: Eukaryota; Metazoa; Chordata; Mammalia; Primates; Hominidae
Description: HSALNT0293355
Source: RNAcentral